Molecule: ribosomal RNA, 492 nt
Filed under: uncultured bacterium
Lineage: Bacteria
Description: partial 16S ribosomal RNA
Rfam family: Bacterial small subunit ribosomal RNA
Source: RNAcentral
AGUGAACGCUGGCGGUAGGCCUAACACAUGCAAGUCGAACGGCAGCACAGUAAGAGCUUGCUCUUACGGGUGGCGAGUGGCGGACGGGUGAGGAAUACAUCGGAAUCUACUUUUUCGUGGGGGAUAACGUAGGGAAACUUACGCUAAUACCGCAUACGACCUACGGGUGAAAGCAGGGGAUCUUCGGACCUUGCGCGAUUGAAUUAGCCGAUGUCGGAUUAGCUAGUUGGCGGGGUAAAGGCCCACCAAGGCGACGAUCCGUAGCUGGUCUGAGAGGAUGAUCAGCCACACUGGAACUGAGACACGGUCCAGACUCCUACGGGAGGCAGCAGUGGGGAAUAUUGGACAAUGGGCGCAAGCCUGACCCAGCCAUACCGCGUGGGUGAAGAAGGCCUUCGGGUUGUAAAGCCCUUUUGUUGGGAAAGAAAAGCAGCAGGUGAAUACCCCGCUGUUCUGACGGUACCCAAAGAAUAAGCACCGGCUAACUUCGUG